RNAcentral lists this unclassified non-coding RNA (9102 nucleotides) under Lucilia cuprina (Australian sheep blowfly). RNAcentral's name for it is "f-actin-monooxygenase Mical, transcript variant X1". Lineage: Eukaryota; Metazoa; Arthropoda; Insecta; Diptera; Calliphoridae. The record is from RNAcentral.
CAUUAUUAAAUAAACUUUCAAAACGAAAAGCAACACCUAAAGUAAAGAUUUUUUUAAGAAAAAGUUUAAAAUUCUGUAAAUUAUUUAUUAGAAUAAUCAUGGCAGAUAAUAAUACUACUAUUCCUCAGACGACUACCAUUUAUUAUGUUUGCACAGUAAAGUGCAUGAGUCGGUCAGCUCAUCAACGCCAACAGCAAAAGCUGCAAAUGCAGCAGCAGCAACUGUUGGCGCAACAGAUGGCUGAUAAUGAGGCAGCCGCUGCUGCAGCCGAGAUGUUUGAUUUGUUUUGUGUGGCUACCACAAUGCGUCAAAUACUCGGCUUACAUCGCCAAAUGUGUGAUGUUGUUGGCUUACGACCCGCCCCCCUUAAUGAAUUCUAUCCAAAGCUUAAAACCAAAGUGCGUUCAUGGAAGGCACAGGCUCUAUGGAAGAAAUUUGAUGCGAGAGCUGCUCAUCGAGCCUAUGCCAAAGGUACAGCCUGUACUGGGACAAGAGUGCUAGUAAUUGGUGCCGGUCCUUGUGGUCUACGCACAGCCAUCGAAGCCCAGCUGCUGGGCGCCAAAGUGGUGGUGGUUGAGAAGAGAGAUCGUAUUUCGCGCAACAAUGUUCUGCAUUUGUGGCCCUUUGUUAUAACGGAUCUACGCAAUUUGGGUGCAAAGAAAUUCUAUGGAAAAUUCUGUGCUGGCUCAAUAGAUCAUAUAUCGAUUAGACAGUUGCAAUGUAUCUUACUUAAAGUAGCUUUACUCUUGGGCGUUGAAAUUCAUGAGGGUGUUUCGUUCGAACGCACAAUAGAACCAAGUGGUGAUGGUUGUGGUUGGAGGGCAUCGGUCACGCCGGCUGAUCAUGCCGUAUCGCAUUAUGAAUUUGAUGUGUUAAUAGGAGCAGAUGGAAAACGUAAUACGUUGGAGGCUUUUAAACGUAAGGAAUUUCGAGGAAAACUAGCCAUAGCUAUAACGGCAAAUUUCAUAAAUAAAAAAACUGAAGCAGAAGCUAAAGCGGAGGAAAUAAGUGGUGUAGCGUUUAUAUUCAAUCAAUCCUUUUUUAAGGAGUUGUACCAUACUACUGGUAUAGAUUUGGAAAAUAUUGUAUACUAUAAGGAUGAAACACAUUACUUUGUAAUGACUGCCAAAAAGCAUAGUCUUAUCGACAAAGGAGUUAUUUUACAAGACUUUGCUGAUCCUGCGGAAUUAUUAGCUCCUAUUAAUGUAAAUACUGAGAAACUUUUAGACUAUGCUCGUGAAGCUGCAGAAUUUUCUACCAAAUAUCAAAUGCCAAAUUUAGAAUUUGCUGUUAAUCAUUAUGGAAAACCCGAUGUUGCCAUGUUUGAUUUUACCUCCAUGUUUGCCGCUGAAUCUUCAUGUCGUGUAAUAGUGCGCAAAGGUUUUCGUCUUUUACAAUGUCUGGUGGGUGAUAGUUUGCUUGAGCCUUUUUGGCCCACCGGCUCUGGUUGUGCUCGUGGUUUCUUAUCCAGUAUGGAUGCUGCAUAUGCCAUAAAACUAUGGUCCAAUUCUGGCAAUAGUACUUUGGGUGUUGUGGCUCAACGUGAGAGUAUUUACAGACUUUUGGGUCAAACCACGCCGGAAAACUUGCAGCGUGAUAUUGGCAGUUAUACGGUAGAUCCCGCCACUCGCUAUCCCAAUUUGAAUCGCACAUCGGUAAAUGUUUGGCAGGUUAAACAUUUAAUCGAUACAGAUGAUAAUACCGUUUUGGAACAAACGUUUAUGGAUACAAAUGCUAUACAACCUACUCAGGUCGAUACUCCAGUACGCAGGAAACGUCGCAGUGGAGAUACUAUGCCUUUAAGUACUGUAUUAUUGAGGUGGAUCUGUGCCCAAUUACAUGCCUACGAAUUUACCAAGGAACUUAAAGAAGUUUCCGAUGUUUUUACCAAUGGCAAAGUUUUAUGUGCUUUAAUAAAUCGUUAUCGUCCAGAUCUAGUCGAUUUUAAUACAGUCAAAGAUUUGAGCCCCGUGGAACAAAAUGAUCUCGCUUUUAAGAUAUUAGACAAAGAAUUGCAUAUACCACGCAUAAUGAGUGGCAAAGAUUCUUUACAAUUAAGCAAUGUAGAAUCGAAAGUUUGGCUUAAUUACUUAGAACAAAUCUGUGAAGUAUUUCGUGGCGAAAUACCGCAUGUUAAACAUCCCAAAAUUGAUUUCUCUGAUUUGCGUGAGAAAUACAAAACUAACAAUGCACAUGCUCAACCGGACUUUUCGAAACUAUUACAACUUUCUACCAAACAAAAAGCCAAAUCUCCCAUACAGGAUCUGGUGGAUGUUCCUCAAGUGGUGCAAAGACGCUCCGUACUGGAUGAGGAGAAAUUAAAGCGCCAACGACGUUACGAACAACAGUUUGUUGGUAACGCUGCAGGUGCAGGCAAUGCAGCACAAACUGAUACUCCUCGUCGUGCCAAAAAACGUCGUAGUGCUGAUAAAGCUGCCAAUAUUGUUCAUUUCAUAAUAAAUCAUUAUCAUGAAAAUACACAUAUAUUGGGUAAUGACAUCAUAACAUCAUCUUCCUCAUAUGAUCAGGAGGAACGACAAAAACGUUUGCAAGAAAUUGAACUGAAUCGUCAAGAUCGCCAAAGUAAGCGACGUCAGCAACGUUAUCAACAAACUCAAAACUUUUACAAAUCUCUACACAUGCUACAAGCGAAUACCUUCUUACGUGAAGCCGAUGAAAAUACUCCCUUUGAAGAUUAUUCGAUAUUUCUGUAUCGCCAGCAGGCUCCCGAAUUCAACGAUCGUGUCAAAGAUUUGGAAAGAAAAUUACUGUAUCCCGAUCGUGAACGUAGUGAUAUACCUUCAGCUCUGCCUCGCAAUGUAGAUGAACAAUUUAGCGAUCGUAUCAAAUCUAUGGAACAACGCAUUUCAUCACGUAAUGCUUAUGGCAGUGAUAAGAAGCCUAAAGAUUUGAUGCGUGCCAUAGGAAAAAUCGACAGCAACGAUUGGAAUGUAAGGGAAAUUGAAAAGAAGAUAGAACAAUCGAAGAAAACAGAAGUUCAUGGACCCAAAGGUCGUGAAAAGGUGCCAAAGUGGAGUAGAGAACAGUUUCAGGCAAGACAAAAUAAAAUGUCAAAACCCACACGCCAAGAUUCGGCUGAAGAGAAAUUUAAAGAAAUCGAUCAAACGCUUAAGAAUCUGGAUAAACAAUUGAAAGAGGGUAAUGUGUUGGAAGUGGGUAAAGUUGCUUCAAUAGCGGGGCAAUUUGUGAAACGUGACGAUACAUCGGAAGAAAAGAAUCCCCCUACAGUAGUUCCAAAAUCAAGUACCAAAGUGGCUUUGGCUUUUAAAAAACAAGCUGCCUCUGAAAAGUGUCAUUUUUGCAAGCAGACGGUAUAUCUUAUGGAAAAAUUGCAAACUGAAAAUUUGGUUAUGCAUCGAGGUUGUCUUAAAUGUCAUCAUUGUCAUACAAACUUACGAUUAGGAGCUUAUGCCUUCGAUCGUGACGAUCCCAAUGGCCGCUUCUAUUGUACACAACAUUUCCGAUUACCAGCUAAAGCUAUACGGCCGGUGGUUCGUAAACCAGGACAGAGGAAACCAACACAACAACAACAAAAUGAGGCAGCUGCUAGUGCUGCUUCAGUGGCUAAAACACCUGUGCCUUCAUAUAUUAAUAGUGAAUCGGGUGAUGAACCUAGAACACCAGAUAAACGUGGCCAAGUCGAUAAUGUUGCCAAAUUGGAUCUGUUGGAACGUGGCCAAACACCGGAACGCAUAGAAUUCGAAAAUACAGAUGCGAUGUCAGACGGGGAACCCUCUGAAGAACAUAUUAUAGACGAGCACGAAUGGUCAGGCCGCAAUUUCCUACCAGAAUCCAAUAAUGAUUCAGAAUCAGACCUUUCAAGUUCUGAUGACUCAGACCCCGAUUCAGAUUCUGACAUGUUUGAAGAAGCGAAUGAUUCUCCGUUGGGUGCUCAAACUUUGCAACUAGCCUCUGAGUGGAUUGGCAAACAAAAUUAUUCAGAUACUGAUGACUCUGAUGAUUCCUAUGAUUCCAGCGAAGGUAUGGCAGACGAUGGCAAAGAUGAUACAGAAGGUGAAGAAUUUGCUAAAGCCAGAGAAUUGCGUCGUGAAGAAGUUCGCUUACCUCCUUUACCCCCUAAUUUACCCACAGAUACUGAAACAGAGGUGCAAAGUGAAUCAGAAACCUCAUCUCCUGAUGAAGUUGAACUUAAUUCUGCCACAGAAAUUUCAACAGAUUCUGAAUUCGAUCAAGAUGAAAUGAUACGCGAAACACCAAAAAUUUUUAUUGAUGACACACAUUUAAGAAAGCCAACCAAAGUACAGAUUAAAUCUACUGUUAUACCGCCCUCAAUGGGUCAAAAAUACAAUAAUAUCGCCAAUACCCAGCAAGUCAAGAGUGGAACUUAUUUAGCAAAGUACCAAACACAACCGCAACAACCUAUAAUACCACAAUUUAAACCUCUAGUCCAAGUCGAUCCCUCCCUUUUAAACACAAAUCGCACACCCCUACAAAAUCCUCGUCCAGGAGAUUAUUUACUUAAUAAAACGGCCAGUACCGAAGGCAUAGCUUCGAAAAAAAGUUUAGAGUUAAAGAAACGUUAUUUGCUUGGAGAACAAGCUAACGGUAAUAAGAUACAAAAAUCUGGUUCCACUUCCGUAUUAGAUUCACGCAUACGCAGCUUCCAAUCAAAUAUAUCGGAAUGUCAAAAGCUCUUGAAUCCCAGCAGCGAUAUAAGUCCUAGUAUGAAAACUUUCCUAGACCGCACUAAACUGGGUGAGAAAGCAGGUAAUGAAUUAAUGAGAUCUGCUACGAAUAAUAUACUCAACGAUCUUAAGGUGGAAAUAACAAUACAAAAAGCAUCAUCUACUGCUUCUACAGACAAUGAAAAGGAAAAUGUUUUUGUAAAUAGUAAAAAUGAACUUAACAAAUGUUUGGAAUAUUCUGAGACUGUAAAUAAUACCUUAUUGGAAUCUAUCAAUAAAAAAUCGACUCCUACUACUCCAACUAAUAAUAAAAACAUAAUUGAGACAAUUGAUUUAGUUACACCGGAAAAGGAAAGUACAAUGGAUACAUCGGAUAGCAAUAAGGUUAUCGAUUUAACGGGUGAUUCCCCAGUAAGGAGCAAUCGUACCAUAAUCGAAGCAGCUGUCAAACCUGAUCUAUCUCUUGAUGUCAAAUGUAUACCAGAUAUUUUGGGUCACAUAGAGAAAAAGGAGGAGAAAAGCAAGUCAAAAGAAUGUACACCAACUGUAGAAAGGCAAAAGGAAGAGGAUGAGGUUAAUUUAAUUGAUAACAAUAUGGAAAAGGUAGAUAUACCCGAGAAGUUAGAAGCUAUCUAUGAUAAUGAAAUGGAAGAUGUACAGAUUGAAGUCCCCAAUAUAGUUUGGAAUACAAAAUCCGAUAAUCUUAGUUCGAGUAGCAAUUCUAGCUGUUCGUCACAUUCUUCAAGUUUGGAGGAUAUAGAGCAUUACAUAUUGGAAUCAACCACUAGUCCAGAAACACACAAUAGUGCUGGCCUCAUGUCAUCUUCAGGUGGCAAUCAUCAAGUACCUCGACUAGAAAUACAUGAUACCUCUGGUACUCUCAUGCAAUUCGAUAGUUUAAUGAUAAUAGAUGGUAAAUAUGUAGGCGAUCCUGAAGAUUUGAAAUUUAUAGAAUUGCCAGAAGGAGUAAUUGUUCCUGAAGUACCGGCCGUAAAGACAACAGAAUUAGAAGAUGAACAUGAGGUGGAUGUGGAACCAGUCACAGCCACCCCAGAACCCGCCGAAACCACCGUUAUUGAGGCGGAUAAGUUGGAUGUAAUUAAAGAUAUUGAAGAAAUAGUAGAUAGGGAUGUGGAUGAGCCGCCACCACUGCCAGAAAUAGGGCCACCACUGCCAGAAAAAGGACCACCAAAAAUUAAGCCUUCUAAUCUUAAGUUUGACACGAAAAACGAAAACAAAAUUGAAAGUCUUAAAAAUCUACCCUUGAUUGUAGAUGCCUCCUCAAAGGACUAUAAGAAGGCAGUCAAACCUAUUACCUUAAAUCUAACAAGCGCACAAAAAACGCCAGAAACUCCUACAACACCUAAGGGGAGUUUCUUACAAACACCUACGUCGCCUCUAAUAGAUAUGGAUAAAACUCCAACUGGUGAGUUGAUCUCACGUGGUUCAGAUUCUGAGACAGAACCCACAGGUACCGCACAAAUUCUGACAGAGACUGAGUUGUCGGACUGGACGGCAGACGAUUGCAUUUCUGAGAAUUUUGUUGACAUGGAAUUUGUCCACCACUCAAAUAAAACAAAUUUAAAAGGCGGCAAAAAAGAUAAGAAAAAGAGAGGUCUACCAACAAGCAAUGAGGUCUUACAAGAAGUGGCCAAAACCGCUCCAGUUGCUGAAUUUGAAGGUAUUCUCAAAUCAAUUGAUAUUGAUGAUAUUGAAUUUAUGGACACAGGUUCCGAUGGUUCGGGAACCGAGCCUCUUUCCGCAACUAAUACAGCUUUGCUUCGUAACCGCGGCUAUGUUGAAUUUGUAGACAACUCUCCUAAACCUAAUAGAACUACAGCACAAAGUGCAUAUGGUUCUGCAACAUCAUCAAAGGAAAGUUACAAACCCAUCCAGACAAAGAGAGACGAAAAACUGGGGAUUGACUAUAUAGAGCAAGGGGCUUAUAUAAUGCUUGAUGACAUGAAUAAAACUCCUGUAAACGAAGCUGCUAAAAAUAUUCCUUCCACACUAAUGACGCAAUCACUUACCGACUCAAGUACCAUCAACGACGCAGAAGACGAGAGUACUUGCGCUUUAUCGUCACAAAUGCAACUAACAUCGGUUGAUACCACCACCACUUCAAAACCAACACAACAAAUGACUACCACAGAGGAAAGUGAAGCUUUGACUGUAGUCACUAGUCCAUUUGAUUCUUCUUCGCCCCAUACACCAAAUUCAAACAAAAUGGGAAAAGAAAGCAACGCCGUCAUUGUCCAAGAAAAGGGUGACAGUUCAACGCCCAGUAGCUCGGAUAGAGCACCUAAAUCAUCACAAUCAACUUCAUGCACUAACUCUGCCACAUCCUCCAGUAAAAAUACUCCUCCACGACAACUAAUUAAAGAUCCUCUUAUGGCAGCCGCAGACAAUUCGUCAUUAAAGAAAUCAAACGACGAGUUGUCAUAUGAAGAAUAUGUACGAGCUUUGCAGCAGAAGAUUGUACAAAUUUCAACAACUGCUCGUGGAGAUUCAUUAGAGGCUCGCAAACAACGAAGGAAAAGCUCAAAGGGAGAGGCUCCAAUAGCCUUAACAAAUCCUAACCAAACUGUGAUAGAAUCAACACCAACAACUACAUUAACUACAACAAAUAAUUUAAGAUUAGAUAAGGACGACGAAACAAAAACGAAUCAAACAAUAACCGCUUCGCCAGCAAACGUAGCUGAAACAGCAAAUGCAAAUACAACCGUUGCAGCAGUAUUACCCACACAACUGAAUAAAGUACCUGAAAUUCCGACACUUACAAGCAAGCUGGAGGAAAUCACCAAAGAACGCACCAAACAAAAGGAUCUUAUUCAUGACCUGGUCAUGGACAAAUUACAAUCGAAAAAACAAUUGAAUGCCGAAAAACGUUUGCACCGCAGUCGUCAACGUACAAUGGUAACAAGUGGUGGUGGUGGCUGCGGUCUCGGCGGUGGUGGUUACUCAUCAGGUUCUAGUCUAAGUCCCACGCCCAAAUUGGCGGCAGCUAACUCUACCACUGAUACAAAUUGCACAAAUCAAGCUCACUACCAUGUAUCCACAGCCGCGGCUGAAACAUCCACAUCUUCUUCCAACCGAACACCAGCACUGCGUCUGAAUACAAACUCAAGCUUUACAGAGAACAAUCCCUCGACUUCAUACACUGCAGCUUAUGGAAUGGAAGCUUUAUCGCCCACUCGAGCUAAAGCCUACAAACAACGUCCGUUUAGUGAACACUUGGAGGGAGAUUCUUUAAAAUCAUUUGAACAACGUUACAAAAUCAAUAAAACACCCUCAUUUUCCUACGCUACAACUCGGCAACAGCAUCCGGUGGCGCAGCCUACAUCUUAUUCUGAACUUUCUACCCCAAUUCCACCAAUGCGACAAAAACGAAAUGGCGAAAGUGUUGCAACAACACCAACCGAAACGAAUAAAGAAACAAAUUUUUCGGUAUCCACUGAGAAUCUUAGAAGUGAAGCUAGAGCUCGUGCUCGCUUGAAAUCCAAUUCCGAACUGGGACUGAGUCCCGAAGAGAAAAUGCAGUUACUGCGCAAACGUUUACAAGUGGAUGUGUGUACAGAUCCGGAACCAGUAAGAGCUUUACAAUCUUCAUAUGAACGAGAAAUUGGCAACAGUAAACGUGAAAACAAAAUGAGCAGUUCGAAAAGUGUUAACGAUCUCGCCUAUUUAACUCAAUCACAAAAACAAAAUACCAACAGUGUUGGUAUGGCAAAUAACGCUUCUAGAGCAUCUGAUUUUACCUCAGAUCCAAACCUAUUGAUUUCGUCCACACAUUCGACCUCUGCCGCUACGGACAGCAGUAAACAAUUGAAAACGAAAUCCGGUCGUAGAGUUAAAGAUCCAGAACGACGUAAAUCGCUUAUACAAUCUUUAUCAAGCUUUUUCCACAAGGGACAGCAGAAUAAGGAGAAUAAACAACAACAGCAACAAAAAGAUGCCACUGCUUCGACUAGUGAUGGCAACUCUGCACAGCCAGAGCGUCCUAGCACUGGUGGUGGCAGUAGCAGCACAUCUACAUCACAAACAGUUUCUUCAGGUAUCGAUGGUGUUCUAAGUCGUUUUCGUAUAUCACCCAAAACCAAAGAGAAAUCGAGGUCUUGCAUUGAACUCAGGAAUUUCAGUGUUGGUACGAGAGUUACGCUACCGAGACUCGCGAUCAAAAGAAACAGCGUGCAAUAUCGAAGGCUGUUCGCCAAGCUGAACUUAAGCGAUUAAGAAUCGCUCAGGAAAUCCAGCGUGAACAAGAAGAAAUUGAAGUGCAAUUAAAAGAAUUGGAAACACGUGGGGUACUCAUUGAAAAGGCUUUACGUGGAGAAGAACAAAAUUAUGAUAAUCCGGAUUCUACUACUAAUGUGGGCAGUAGUGAUGAAAAACUCUUAAAAGAACUUUUGGAAAUAUGGCGAAAUAUAACACAACU